GAGUUUGAUCGUGGCUCAGAACGAACGCUGGCGGCAUGCCUAACACAUGCAAGUCGAACGGGAUCCGGACUUCGGUCCGGUGAGAGUGGCGGACGGGUGAGUAACGCGUGGGAACCUGCCCAAUGGUCUGGGAUAACCGCGGGAAACUGCGGCUAAUACCGGAUAAGCCCGAGAGGGGAAAGAUUUAUCGCCGAUGGAGGGGCCCGCGUCCGAUUAGGUAGUUGGUGAGGUAACGGCUCACCAAGCCGACGAUCGGUAGCUGGUCUGAGAGGAUGAUCAGCCACACUGGGACUGAGACACGGCCCAGACUCCUACGGGAGGCAGCAGUGGGGAAUAUUGGACAAUGGGGGAAACCCUGAUCCAGCCAUGCCGCGUGAGUGAAGAAGGCCCUAGGGUUGUAAAGCUCUUUCGACGGGGACGAUGAUGACGGUACCCGUAGAAGAAGCCCCGGCUAACUUCGUGCCAGCAGCCGCCGUAAC
RNAcentral lists this ribosomal RNA (479 nucleotides) under uncultured Alphaproteobacteria bacterium. Its description in RNAcentral is "bacterial SSU rRNA". It matches the Rfam family "Bacterial small subunit ribosomal RNA", at positions 9 to 524 of the family's 1533-position model. Lineage: Bacteria; Pseudomonadati; Pseudomonadota; Alphaproteobacteria. The record is from RNAcentral.